UAAAAAUUAGUUUAGUAUAAAACACUAAUUUGUCAAAUUAGAAAAUUUAAUAAUUUAAAAUUUUUUU
This 67-nucleotide transfer RNA is filed under the name Aphrophora maritima. Its description in RNAcentral is "tRNA-Asp". Lineage: Eukaryota; Metazoa; Arthropoda; Insecta; Hemiptera; Aphrophoridae. The record is from RNAcentral.